GUGGGGAAUAUUGGACAAUGGGCGCAAGCCUGAUCCAGCCAUUCCGCGUGAGUGAUGAAGGCCCUAGGGUUGUAAAGCUCUUUCAGUGGGGACGAUAAUGACGGUACCCACAGAAGAAGCCCCGGCUAACUUCGUGCCAGCAGCCGCGGUAAUACGAAGGGGGCUAGCGUUGUUCGGAUUUACUGGGCGUAAAGCGCACGUAGGCGGAUCGUUAAGUAGGGGGUGAAAUCCUGGCGCUCAACUCCAGAACUGCAUUCGAUACUGGCGAUCUUGAGUCCGGAAGAGGUGAGUGGAACUCCUAGUGUAGAGGUGGAAUUCGUAGAUAUUAGGAAGAACACCAGUGGCGAAGGCGGCUCACUGGUCCGGUACUGACGCUGAGGUGCGAAAGCGUGGGGAGCAAACAGGAUUAGAUACCCCUGUAGUCC
Molecule: ribosomal RNA, 425 nt
Filed under: uncultured bacterium
Lineage: Bacteria
Description: partial 16S ribosomal RNA
Rfam family: Bacterial small subunit ribosomal RNA
Source: RNAcentral